UGUCAAGCUGACGAGACCAGAGUG
This 24-nucleotide non-coding RNA is filed under the name Mus musculus (house mouse). Lineage: Eukaryota; Metazoa; Chordata; Mammalia; Rodentia; Muridae. The record is from RNAcentral.